AAUAAGCGGAGGAAAAGAAACUAACAAGGAUUCCCCUAGUAACUGCGAGUGAAGCGGGAAGAGCUCAAAUUUGAAAUCUGGCAGUUCUUGACUGUUCCGAAUUGUAAUCUAGAGAAGUGUUACCUGUGCUGGACCAUGUACAAGUCUCCUGGGAUGGAGCAUCAUAGAGGGUGAGAAUCCUGUCUUUGACAUGGACUACCUGCAUGCUGUGGUACGCUCUCAAAGAGUCGAGUUGUUUGGGAAUGCAGCUCAAAAUGGGUGGUAAAUGCCAUCUAAAGCUAAAUAUUGGCGAGAGACCGAUAGCGAACAAGUACCGUGAGGGAAAGAUGAAAAGAACUUUGGAAAGAGAGUUAAACAGUACGUGAAAUUGCUGAAAGGGAAACGCUUGAAGUCAGUCGCGUCGGCUAGAAAUCAGCCCUUGCUUUUGCUUGGUGUACUUUCUGGUUGAUGGGUCAGCAUCAAUUUUGACCACUGGAUAAAGUCUUUGGGAAUGUGGCAUCUCUUGAUGUGUUAUAGCCCAUUGUCGCAUACGGUGGUUGGGAUUGAGGAACUCAGCACGCCGCAAGGCCGGGUUUCGACCACGUUUCGUGCUUAGGAUGCUGGCAUAAUGGCUUUAAUCGACCCGUCUUGAAACACGGACCAAGGAGUCUAACAUGCCUGCGAGUGUUUGGGUGAAAAACCCAUGCGCGUAAUGAAAGUGAAAGUUGAGAUCCUUCUUCUAGGGGGAGCAUUGACGCCCGGACCAGACCUUCUGUGACGGAUCCGCGGUAGAGCAUGUAUGUUGGGACCCGAAAGAUGGUGAACUAUGCCUGAAUAGGGUGAAGCCAGAGGAAACUCUGGUGGAGGCUCGUAGCGAUUCUGACGUGCAAAUCGAUCGUCAAAUUUGGGUAUAGGGGCGAAAGACUAAUCGAACCAUCUAGUAGCUGGUCC
This 930-nucleotide ribosomal RNA is filed under the name Inocybe dewrangia. RNAcentral's name for it is "eukaryotic LSU rRNA". It matches the Rfam family "Eukaryotic large subunit ribosomal RNA", at positions 45 to 957 of the family's 3401-position model. The record is from RNAcentral. Lineage: Eukaryota; Fungi; Basidiomycota; Agaricomycetes; Agaricales; Inocybaceae.